AGAAAUUAAAAUAAUGGAAGAAUUGAAUUCUCUUAAUAAAGUACCAUAAUUGGAAUUCAAUUACUGAUUCGGAUUCAAAUUCAAAUUCCCGAUUAAUAAACACAACAUAAGAUUAGUAAACACAACAUAAGAUUAUAUCCGAAUACCAGUCAGAGUACAAAGAUAAUACAUUCCAUAUAAAUUGUCCAUCGCUACCAACAUCACGAAACCACAACCCCUACACAGCUAGAUAUGGAAAGUAAACAUCCUUCACGAUGAAGGUGAAGUAGAAC
This 272-nucleotide long non-coding RNA is filed under the name Prunus persica (peach). RNAcentral's name for it is "long non-coding RNA (PPER_LNC005643)". Lineage: Eukaryota; Viridiplantae; Streptophyta; Magnoliopsida; Rosales; Rosaceae. The record is from RNAcentral.